UAUUCUAGUCCAAUAAUACUCAAAGAUAUUAAGAAUUAAUAAAUUUAAUAUUUCCCCAAACUUCCGAAUUUUGCAUCACAUUGAAAUGGAAUCAAGCUGGGCUAGCUGCCAUCGGCAACAUGAAGAACCAUCACCAUCGACCCCUCUCGGCUCAGUUUGUCUCUAUUUCAGUACGUGAUUAAUCAACAUAGAAGUCGGAGGUGAUACUGGUACACCUAAUUACUCCUCCUGUCCCAUCUGCUUUACAUCAGGUUUGGCUGGUUUUUCACACUAACCCUGAGAAAAAGACCUGGAAGUUGACCCACAAGUCCGAUGUUCACAAUCAAGGAAGGAUCUCUACAUGAAUUGAUCCUUGAAGAUUUUUUUUUUGUGAAUAUUACUUUUGCCAGCGGUUUCUUGAAAACUGGCAGCAACAUUUUUUUUCAUGGGUCACGGGUCUCAGGCCUGACCACAGUAAGCAGAAGUGGAAAGUAAGUCGAAGAUUAAAUGCCGGUGCAUCUGACCUCCUUCUCUGGCACAGAACUCAGCUGUGAUUCUAAAAACAGAAAGUUCAAGAGCACAGAUGCACAUUGCAUCCAAGGAUGACCUGUGUGUGUAGUGCAUCUCUGUUUGCCAGCCUUCACUGGAAAUGUGCAGGUUGUGCUUCAUAUACAGAGAUGGCACCAUGACAUGUCAGUUUCUUUACC
Mobula hypostoma (lesser devil ray) is the source of this 686-nucleotide long non-coding RNA. RefSeq lists it as uncharacterized. The record is from RefSeq and is a predicted model, not a curated record. NCBI's taxonomy places the organism in Eukaryota, Metazoa, Chordata, Chondrichthyes, Myliobatiformes, Myliobatidae. The transcript is spliced from 3 exons.